CAAUAGCGUAUAUUAAAGUUGUUGCAGUUAAAAAGCUCGUAGUUGGAUUUCUGAUCGAGACAUCAGGUCGGGUCCGAGAGGAUCAUGUACUUUGAUUUUGUUUUGAUCAUCCUUGGGGAGAGCAUUUCUGGCAUUCAGUUGUCGGGAUUGGGAUCCUCAUCGUUUACUGUGAAAAAAUUAGAGUGUUCAAAGCAGGCCUCGGCCUCUGAAUACAUUAGCAUGGAAUAAUAAGAUAGGACUUUGGUGGUCUAUUUUGUUGGCUUGCACGCCAAAGUAAUGAUUAAUAGGGAUAGUUGGGGGUAUUCGUAUUCAAUUGUCAGAGGUGAAAUUCUUGGAUUUAUGGAAGACGAACUACUGCGAAAGCAUUUACCAAGGAUGUUUUCAUUAA
This 388-nucleotide ribosomal RNA is filed under the name uncultured eukaryote. Its description in RNAcentral is "partial 18S ribosomal RNA". It matches the Rfam family "Eukaryotic small subunit ribosomal RNA", at positions 592 to 976 of the family's 1831-position model. The record is from RNAcentral.